CGGGUGGUUGAUGUCCUUGAUGAUCUUUAUGGCCUUCCUGUAACAUCGGGUGGUGUAGGUGUCCUAGAGGGCAGGUAGUUUGCCCCCGGUGAUGCGUUGUGCAGACCUCACUACCCUCUGGAGAGCCUUACGGUUGUGGGCGGAGCAGUUGCCGUACCAGGCGGUGAUACAGCCCGCCAGGAUGCUCUCGAUUGUGCAUCUGUAGAAGUUUGUGAGUGCUUUUGGUGACAAGCCGAAUUUCUUCAGCCUCCUGAGGUUGAAGAGGCGCUGCUGCGCCUUCUUCCCGAUGCUGUCUGUGUGAGUGGACCAAUUCAGUUUGUCUGUGAUGUGUAUGCCGAGGAACUUAAAACUUACUACCCUCUCCACUACUGUUCCAUCGAUGUGGAUAGGGGGGUGUUCCCUCUGCUGUUUCCUGAAGUCCACAAUCAUCUCCUUAGUUUUGUUGACGUUGAGUGUGAGGUUAUUUUCCUGACACCACACUCCGAGGGCCCUCACCUCCUCCCUGUAGGCCGUCUCGUCGUUGUUGGUAAUCAAGCCUACCACUGUCGUGUCGUCCGCAAACUUGAUGAUUGAGUUGGAGGCGUGCGUGGCCACGCAGUCGUGGGUGAACAGGGAGUACAGGAGACGGCUCAGAAUGCACCCUUGUGGGGCCCCAGUGUUGAGGAUCAGCGGGGUGGAGAUGUUGUUGCCUACCCUCACCACCUGGGGGUGGCCCGUCAGGAAGUCCAGUACCCAGUUGCACAGGGCGGGGUCGAGACCCAGAGAGUCCGCAUGUUUUCGUUGCAGGCCGUGUCAGUGGCACUGUAUUGUCCUCAAAGCGGGCAAAAAAGUUAUUUAGUCUGCCUGGGAGCAAGACAUCCUGGUCCGUGACUGGGCUGGUUUUCUUCUUGAAGUCCGUGAUUGACUGUUGACCCUGCCACAUACCUCUUGUGUCUGAGCCGUUGAAUUGAGAUUCUACUUUGUCUCUAUACUGACGCUUUGCUUGUUUGAUUGCCUUGCGGAGGGAAUAGCUACACUGUUUGUAUUCGGUCAUGUUUCCGGUCACCUUGCCCUGAUUAAAAGCAGUGGUUUGCGCUUUCAGUUUCAUGCGAAUGCUGCCAUCAAUCCACGGUUUCUGGUUAGGGAAUGUUUUAAUCGUUGCUAUGGGAACGACAUCUUCAACGCACGUUCUAAUGAACUCGCACACCGAAUCAGCGUAUUCGUCAAUGUUGUUAUCUGACGCAAUACGAAAUAUAUCCCAGUCCACGUGAUGGAAGCAGUCUUGGAGUGUGGAAUCAGCUUGGUCGGACCAGCGUUGGACAGACCUCAGUGUGGGAGCUUCUUGUUUUAGUUUCUGUCUGUAGGCAGGGAUCAGCAAAAUGGAGUCGCGGUCGUGGUCAGCUUUGAUAAUACUGGCCUGUUGUAGAAGGUACGUCAGAACUGAUUUGUGGUUGGGGGUGUGGUUGUCAUGUUGAUGAUACUGGCCUGUUGUAGAAGGUACGUCAGAGCUGAUGACCGGUGGUUGGGGGUGUGGUUGUCAUGUUGAUGAUACUGGCCUGUUGUAGAAGGUACGUCAGAGCUGAUGACCGGUGGUUGCUGCAAGAUGGACCGAUAUUAUUUCACUACACUAAAAUGUGACAUACAUCAUAUGUUGAUAAAUAACAGUAUGCACAACAUACUUAACUCCAGAUUGUUAGAAAAUAUCAAUAUAACCUUAAAAAAAUACUGAAUUGUACACGUUUUUUCAGAUGAUUCAAGUAACCCUAUUUUAGACCACAUUAUACUGAUCGUUAUUACCAUGGAUGAGAAUACCACUUCAAGUUGGACAGAAUGACUUCUAAAAUAAUAAAAGACACGCUAUGUUAAC
This is a long non-coding RNA of Oncorhynchus tshawytscha (Chinook salmon), 1846 nucleotides long. NCBI's taxonomy places the organism in Eukaryota, Metazoa, Chordata, Actinopteri, Salmoniformes, Salmonidae. The record is from Ensembl.